CUCAAUCGUCCGGUCACCGUGGUCUCGCUCACCCCAUCGUCUCCGACCGCUUGACGAGCAGGGCCGUCGCCCGCUGUGUCAAUCAGCGCCAGCUCUCCGUCGCUGUAGCUCCGUCCGCGGCAGCACUCCGCCGCCAACCGUCCCUUGCGGGGAGUCAGCCGUCCUCCCCUUUCGAUCCUUCGUCAGGCGGCACCGCGGCACUGGAGUCGCCUCUGCCACUGACGGCCUCCGCCACCACUCGCAAACGGGCAGCUCCGCCCGCACAUCGUCGGUCAGCCGCCACACAAGCUAAGCUCUCCAUCCCUUCCCCUUUUUUCCUCUUUAUAAAAUUAGUUUUGGGUUCGAGCAGUAGCUAUGUUGGAGGCCUUUGAUUGUAGUAUCUAAAGUCGUGAUCUUUGGAGAAAAAUUUCUAUUUGUGUUCUAUUGUUUCACUGCAUUGAAUCCUAUUGUUUGCGUUCCAUUCUUAAGUUGUGAGUUUUUCUUAUUAUUUGUGAAGCUUAGCAGAUGCUUGCUCUUGACUAUUGCUGUGAGAGUCCUAUUGAAAUCUAAGUUCUUGUCUAGUUGAUGAGGUUGAUCUUAGAUUCUUACAUGAUGCAAGGGGGGAGUUUGGUUGUAUUAUUACUGAUCUUAUUAGGAAUGAAAGCCAUUUGAAAUUCUAGGUUGUGGUGUCUCUACAUAAAAAAAGGUGAUAAGGAGGGUUGUUAUGAUUUACCUGCUGUGGUGAAGGGAAAAAGUAGGGAGGUUCUUCUUGCUUGCUCGCUGCCUCUUCUUCUCCAGAAUUUCACCCUCGAGCUGAAAUUUUCAAAAUGUGCGUGGGAGGGGAAAAAUUUGAUGCCUAAGGAUGGGUCCUUAUAGAAAAGCUUGGUGUACUUGAGUGUAUUGAAUGAUGCUGCCACUUUCUUUGUUUCUUCCUACAUACAAUCCCCCUUUAUUGAUCCUCAUUGCCCUCCUUUUUCAUGGCUGUAGAAUGGCUCCAAAUGAUACCAAUUACUUGGUUAGUAAUUGGAAAUGUUUGCUUGUGGCAGGUACAAACAAGGAUGCAGGGUUUGACUUGCUCCUUUGCUGGGGAAAAAGCUUGGCUGCAAAAGCUGCUGCCCUGUUGCUGUUCGAGAGGGCCUGGGCCCGACGGGCCGGGUGGAUGGCCACGACUUGGGCUUGGGAAAAGAAGGCCCAAGGUGCAAGCAAAAUAAGAGUUUCUCUUUGGCCCAUUGGCGACAUUUUGUAAUAGAAUAGUACUCCACAUUUUCCUUCUCUUUCAUUUAUGUAAAUUAAAGUGUUAUUCGCGAGGUAUGCGAACUCUUUCGUUCGGGGAGAA
Long non-coding RNA from Salvia splendens (bonfire salvia), 1315 nucleotides. RefSeq lists it as uncharacterized. The record is from RefSeq and is a predicted model, not a curated record. The transcript has 2 exons. NCBI's taxonomy places the organism in Eukaryota, Viridiplantae, Streptophyta, Magnoliopsida, Lamiales, Lamiaceae.